RNAcentral lists this unclassified non-coding RNA (381 nucleotides) under uncultured bacterium. RNAcentral describes it as "contains 16S-23S intergenic spacer region". The record is from RNAcentral.
UCCCCGUUAUCCUAGGCAGUCCUUUCAGAGUUCCCGGCAUGACCCGUUGGCAACUGGAAGCAGGGGUUGCGCUCGUUGUGGGACUUAACCCAACACCUCACGGCACGAGCUGACGACAGCCAUGCAGCACCUCUACUACUGUCCCUUGCGGGAAGACGAUAUUUCUACCGUUGGUCAGUAGCGGUUCAAGCCCAGGUAAGGUUCUUCGCGUUGCGUCGAAUUAAACCACAUACUCCACCGCUUGUGCGGGCCCCCGUCAAUUCCUUUGAGUUUCAGUCUUGCGACCGUACUCCCCAGGCGGCGAACUUAACGCGUUAGCUUCGAUACUGGGCACCAAGUUGUGCCCAACAUCCAGUUCGCAUCGUUUAGGGCGUGGACUAC